This 519-nucleotide long non-coding RNA is filed under the name Mytilus galloprovincialis (Mediterranean mussel). Lineage: Eukaryota; Metazoa; Mollusca; Bivalvia; Mytilida; Mytilidae. The record is from RNAcentral.
UGCUGUCGUAAAUGAUGGUAGCGAGGAUUAACUGUCGCUAAUGCUUUACCAAACUCUAGCCUCAGACUCGUUGAUUCCUUUGCUUGAUAAAUGGCCUGUCAUCAUUUUACGACCGCGUAUGUGGGUCCAACUUGAAAAUAACACACACUAUGCGCACAUCAUGUUUUAAAUGUAACUACUAGUAUAUAUUCCAUGUACAUGAUGCAUAUGGUUUGGAAUACGUUUGUGUCGAUCUGUGUCGAUCUGGAUUUUUUUUUUUUUUUAACUUUUUUUUUUAUUUCAAAAGAAGAUUGUCAAUGACUGAGACCAUUUUUUGUGUCGACCUAUUUGUCCGACAAUACUCGUUUUUCUUUCACAUAUUAAAGAUGUAAAAUCAUAUUGAAUAAAAGGUAAUAGAAUGUACAUAAAACAGAACCUCAUGGGAACUGUCUUAUGUUUGUUGAAAUACUAUUCACAUAAUUAUGAUAUAUUCUUUGCUACAUUUGUUUUUUCCGGUUAAAGCAAAUAUAAGAAGUCAUU